Ictalurus furcatus (blue catfish) is the source of this 7634-nucleotide long non-coding RNA. RefSeq lists it as uncharacterized. Lineage: Eukaryota; Metazoa; Chordata; Actinopteri; Siluriformes; Ictaluridae. The transcript is spliced from 3 exons. The record is from RefSeq and is a predicted model, not a curated record.
AAUGAUAUAAGAAAUGCGCGUAUUACAUUGAGCGAUUUCUUGUAAGAAGUUCCAGGAACUUCGCCUCUGUGACAGCAGAGAUAUUGGUGUUUCUUAGAUCACAGCCUCAAAACUAAGCUAUAUACUGAUGGGUAUAUAUAUAUAGAGAGAGAGAGAAAGAGAGAGAGAGAUAAUAAUGGUAAAAAUAUUUGCUAAUGGAAAGAGUCCGGUUCGAGCAAUGAAUAAGUAAAGAGAGUACUUAUUAAGAAGCACAAGAGGCGCAGUAUUUUUACGGCGAAUUAUUAUCAAUGGCAUGCCCCAUUGACUCAUUCCAUCAUAUCAGCGGUACAUGAUACAUUUGGCAAAUUUAACGCUCAAGUAAAUUUUACUGAGAUAAAAAAAAAAAUUAUAAUAAUAACAAAAGAAAUUCUUUAAAAAAAAAAAGAAGGGAAGAGAAAAUUCUAAGUCCUACCAAAUUGCUGUAUGUGGACUCGCCCUCUUUUACAUUUUUAAGGUUUGCUCUAGUGAACCUAUAACUUAUAUGAUUAAAUGAAUGUCUAGAGAUUUGGAAUACAUUUUGAACCUUUUCUGUCUGUGCACGAGAAUGUAUAUUCACUUGAUUUUCAUAGCAUGUUAAAUUGAUUAAAACUUUGAAAGUUACAGAAGCUGUAAAAAAAAAAAAAAACCAAAGAAAAAUAUGGGAAAAACAUGUAGCAAAACACAUCCUGUGACACAUGCUAUGGUAUGUACAGGGUGCUCAUAUGUUGAUCCUAAUAUCACGUUUAUGCGUGUGAAUUAUGGGGAAGGAUUUUUGAGUCAAUAUGAUGUAUGGGCUAAAGAAUGUGCUUUCCCUGAAAAAGAUAGUUUUAGUCACAGACAGUUAGAACAACUGAAACUUAAUUUAGAGACAAAGGAGAGAGAGAGAGACCCCUAAAACAAAGAGCGAAGUGCAGUUUUUGGCUGACUGGAAGGCAUUCGCUGAAUGGCAGAGCGAGGCACAUAAAAGAAAGAAAAAAUGUCAGGCAGGGCCCUCAUCUGUUUCUCAGUGUGCAAAAUUGCAAUUGAAACAUGACGGAGGCCUGAUUAGAAGUGCACCACCAGUCGUGAUCACGCCCAAAUCUGACUUUAGGCCCAGACAAUCUCAAUACCCUCUUAAAUCAGAAGCUAUUGAGGGAAUUAGGCCAGUAUUUAAUUCACUGCUGAAAGCAGGGGUCAUUGUCUCCUGUCCUGAUUCGUCAGUGCACACUCCAGUAUUAAAAGUGUGAGAAGCAAAAAAAAUAAAUAAAUCCUAGAACGUGAUGAAUGGAGAUUUGUACAAGAUUUGCAAGCAAUUAAUGCAGCAGUCAAACAGAGCACUCCAGACGUUCCAAAUUCUUACACUAUAUUAAGCCUGGUUCCAGCAAAUAGCGAAUGGUUUUCAGUCGUAGAUUUAGCUAAUGCGUUUUUUCAUUAUAUCUCUUGAUAAAGACAGUUUCGAUUUGCAUUUAUAUUUGACGGACGUCCUUACACUGUCACUCGCUUGUGUUAAGGGAAUUGAGAGUCACUAAUGAUAUACGACCAAAUGCUAAAAUGCACACUUUCUCCAGGGCACAUUGUGAAACUGACACCAUUAAAUUGUUACGGCAUCUCGCCUAAGAAGGCCACAAAGCCAGUCUCUCCAAAUUACAGUAUGUCCAAAAAGAAGUGAGAUUUUUAGGGCACUACAUCUCCACCAGUGGAAGGAAACUCUCCGCAGACAGAGUAUCUGCCAUUCAGAAGAUUCCCAAGCCUCUGACGAAGAAACAGGUUCUAUCUUUCCUAGAGGGAGAGACGGAGAACCACAUGAUUGUGCUGUACUGACUAACGAACUCUGCUCCCCUAGAGUCGGCCUGAAGGAUGUUCUACUGGAAAACCCAGAUUUGAUUCUUUUGUGGACAGAUCAGUGCCACGUGACCCAAAGACGGGUAAAAAUCGAGUGGGAUAUGCAGUAGUGACCACACACGAGACGGUCUGUCAGGAAGUCUCCCUUCAAACCUUUCAGCACAAGCAGCUGAACUGUAUGCCCCCAUAGAGGCAUGAAGACAUGCUGAGGGACAGUCAGUAAAUAUCUACACAGACAGUAGAUAUGCCUUUGGGGUAGUACAUGAUUUGGGGACAAUUUGGAAACACAGGAACUUCCUGAUGAGUUCAGGAAUACACAUAGCCCACCACAAACUAGUCUCUAGUCUCAAAACUAUUGCAGCAUGCAAAUGUGAUGCACACACUAACAAAUUAGACCCUGUUUUCCUAGGAAAUGCUCGAGCGGACAGUGCAGCAAAGCAAGCAGCUGCAUAUAUGGUCCCAAAACUCAAAAGAAAAUAAUCACUCAUUCUUUACAACUUUCAGACCUCCAAGCACAAGCUACAGACAAGGAAAAGGCUGUGUUGCGCAAAGCAGGCUGCACGGUUGUUGAUGGAGUUUGGCGGUGCCCCCAGGGCUGUCCUUGUUUUCAAAGUUGACGAUGGUCCCUGCCAAAAGCGGGAAUGAUGGCUGUGAUAAAGCACUGGUUUCUCUAAUUACUCGUAAAAAAUUUUUUUUACGAUGUUUGCGCAACUCAUAACGUGGGUUGAGGUUUGAAGUUAGAGAAGGCCACAUCCCUACGUCCAAACAGGACUCAGACAUGGUAGUGAUGAUGAAAAUCUCCAGUGAUAAUGGCACACCUUUUGUGAGCCAUGCCCUUAAGUAGGUGGGUGAAUAUUUGGGUAUUGAAUUAAAGCAGCACUGUGCAUAUCAUCCAGCUAGUGGUGGGGUGGUAGAGAGAGAAUAUGGGACACUAAAAAACAGACUGAGCAAAUGCUGUUCUGAAACAGGCUUAGGAUAGGCUUAGCCCCUUUGGGAUACUGUUUGGGAGACCUCCACACACAGGAAUUGGACCUGUGGCAGCUCCGCUUCCUGAUGCUGCAGCAUGUGAUGAUGCAAUGUUAAAUUACCGUGCAACGUUGUCCUCUGCUCUGCACUCUAUCUACAAGCAGGUAAAGGCAGCACUUCCAGCUCCAGCCACGGGCCCGCUGCAUGAUCUGAAGCCUGGAGAGUGGAUCGUGAUCAAGGAUUUCCGCAUGACCAGGUGGAACAAGCCACGGUGGUCUGGACCAUUCCAGGUUCUCUUUGUCACUCAUUCAGCAGUGAAAGUCAACCAAAGAGCCACAUGGAUGCGUGCGAGCCACUGCAGGAGAGUGCCAGCGCCGAGCACUGAGCUGGAGAAGACGGGACUGCAAUAGGAGAACUAGACCAUAAUUCUCUAUCAAGAGGCCUCUAGGAGGACCUACGCUCAAUAGCAACGAUCUGCAUACACACACACACGACACACUACACCCUGACACAUCAACACACCAAUCCCACGCGACUCCACGAUAGACAGUCUUAAGUGGUAUCUAGUACCCUUCGAAAUCACGGACAUGUAGUUUUUGGAGAAAAUGUUGACGACACGGAAACUGUACUCUUAGGAGGACUGAACUUCAUUAGUGCGUACUAUAUAGCCAUGUGACCAGGACAGAGGUUAGACGACGUGACUUUGCUACCUCACCUCUUACGCCCCAAAGCUCCCUGACCACAGACUACUGUUGCAGACAAGACACAAAUCAUUAGAUGUCGACCUGCACAUCCACUCAUACAUACAAACCUAUUCCUAAUCGUACACCCUUCUCCUGGAAUAGGUGGUAUCUGUUAGUAAGCCCGGUCAUAGAAAUAAACUUACAAAUCACUGGGACCGUUCCCGACAACACUAGGGGUCCGGGGGAUAGACCCUUAAGAUGGAAAGAUAAAUCAAAGUGCGAUAUUGAAGUUUAUUGGGUGGAAGACUUAUUGAUCAAUCACGCCAAUCACAUCGUUGCAGCAGAAAGAGUGCAUGACGCACACACUUUUACCCAAAUUUGGUAUCUAGCUGAUCGUGGUGACGGGACUAAGGCAAUAUGAUUUCUAUAGGUCCCACGUAAGCCCGCAAAGUUCUUUAGUAGACUAUUGCUGCAGAUUGGACGACAAUUAGUAGUUAAAAGCCUGUAUGCCAAGAUAUUGGCCGCCUCUGUAAACUGUUCUGUAUCACCUUUGGUCAUAAGAAUCAUUGUCAGCAGUGCUACCCACACAACGUCACACGUCCCCUCGUCACGCAGACACAUAAUGGUUAUUCUAUCAUUGAACACAUGCGGUCUGCGAUACACAACUCUCCGCAGACUAGUGAGACGGGGUUUGAUUGGCUGAACUCAGUACUCGGGGGAUGGGGCUCGUGGAUAGUCUGUCUGCCAAUAGGUGCAAUAAUUAUUCUUGUCUUGCUCAUUUUGCCUUGUAUUGCUUCUCUCGUUCGGAGCAGUCGCUCACGCUCGUUGAAAUCACUAAUGACCAAACGCUGAUGUUGACAAAGACUGAUUACGAUCCCUAUGAUGACCAACCUGACUUGUAUCCUAAACCUGACUGGGUAUCAGAUUCUCCCACCAACAAUGACGACCCAUUGACAUCCAUUUCACACCUAUUGUAAAUAUUCCUUUGACCAUGACGACUCUCAUUUCACAUUAAAAUGGGCUUGCUUGACGACAGGAUACUUUAUAUCUGCAAAAACAGCCUUAGUGCCUUCAUUACGUCUGUUUCAUGAUGAAUUCAGUUGAACCGUGAAAGGAUUCUGAAGUUCUGAUGUAAAACUUGUGGAGCUUGGCUGUGGGGAUUUGUGCUUAUUCAGCUACAAUAGCGAGGUCAGGUACUGAUGUUAGGUGAGGAGGCCUGAGAUGCAGUCAGUGUUCCAGUUUAUCCCAAAGGUGUUCAGUGGCAUUGAGGUCAAAGCUCUGUGCAGGAUACUUGAGUUCUUACACCGCAACCUUGGCACACCGUGUCUUCAUGGAGCUCACAUUGUGCAAAUGGGCAUUGUCAUAUUGAAACAAGUUUGGGCCUCUUAUUUCCAGUGAAGGGAAACUGUAACACUAGAGCAUAAAAAGACAUUCUAUACAAUUGUGUGUUCCCAACUUUGUGGUAACGGUUUGGUGAAGAACCACAUAUGGGAGUGGUGGUUAGGUGUCCAUAUACUUUUGGCCAUAGUGUAUUUCUCUUGCACCUUGACCCAUGGACUGUGCACAACAUCAGUGGGUUGAACGUUGCUGAAAUGGUUUUCAGUAGUCAACUGAAAUACCCGAGCUUUUAUGGAGACUUUAGCUAAUUUCUGUGAACAUUAACUGCUCCAGCCUACAUUAGUAUGUAGAGAGAGAGAGAGAGAGAGAGAGAGAGAGAGAGAGAGAGAGAGAGACUGGAGUAUAAAACACAAUGAUUCUAGAGAAACGGGGCAUUUGGGGAGAAAACUGCAUAAAAUUUCCUACAAAUCUGUCAAAUAAGCAUGUGACCUCACACCCAACGGUCACUUGGAACACCUGCAGACUCAUGCAAUUAUCCAAUCAGCCAGUUGUGUGGCAGCAGCACAAUGCAUACAAUCAUGCAGAUACAGUUCAAGAGCUUCAGUUAAUGUUCACAUCAAACAUCAGAAUGGUGAAAAUGUGAUCUCUGUGACCUUCAUAUUCUCCUGGGAUUUUCACACACAACAGUCUCUAGAGUUUACACAGAAUGGUGUGGAAAAACAACAUACACCCAGUGUUUUCGAGCUGACCAGGAGGCUCUGGUAACUCAAAUAAUCAUGGCUAGAACAAGUUGAACCUUGACAUAACCUGAUGUGGUCACUCCUGUCAGCCAAGAACAGGAACCGUUUUAUUUCUUCACUAAAUGAUGAAUUUCAGCUUCUGAGGAGUCUCAGUACAAGAGUAAACAUAGGAAAUGAUCAAAGACGUUUAUCCCUGCAGAAAAACAAUAAAAUUUGUCAGAAAAAUAACUGAUUGAACUGAGCUUUGUCUAUUUAGUACUGCCAUUCAGCAAAUACUGCUGAGAUUAUAAAUAAGCAAAUUUAAUUAAAUUGCUAUGCUUGACAUAUCAAUUGGACCAAUUGUAUCCACUGACAACUUUUGACUAAAACUCAAAUAUAUAUUUGGUUUAUUUAUUAAGUGAUCAAACAGUCCUAUCCAGAAGUAUUGGAACCGCCUGGCCAAUUCUAUUGUUUUCACUACACAUCGAAGAAAGGUCUUCAAUUUGUCACUCCAAAGAUGAACAUGAGAUGACAGAAGAAUUUCAUAUUUACAUCUAAAAGGUCUCGCCUGUGAAGACCGCAUUUGUUGUUAAAGAGAAUAAACCAACAUGAAGACCAGAGCCAUCUAUGGGAGAUAAACAAGCUGAGAAAAGAGGGAAAAAUCAAUCAGAGCCAUUGCACGAGUAUUGGGCAUAGCCAAGAUAACAAUUUGGAAUGUCCUAAAAAAAAAAAAAAAAAAAGGAAAGAAACAAACCACUGGUGUACUGACAACCAGACAGGGAACAGCCAAGGAAAACAUUAGUUGAUGACAAACAUUGAAAGAGCUGUAAAGAAAAAUCCAAAAACCACAGUUAGUGACGUCAACAACCUUCACAGGGGAAAGGUAAAGGUAUCACAACCCCCCAUUUGAAGAAGACUCCGAGAGCAGAAAUAUAGAGCCCAUAUCACAAAAUGCAAACCACUCAUCAGCAGUAAGAAUCAGAAAGCCAGAUUGGAAUUCGCAAAGAAAUACAGAGAUGAGCCACAAAAGUUCUGAAACCAAGAUUGACCUCUACCAAAGUGAUGGAAAGGCCGAAGUGUGGAGAAAUUAUCUGCUCAUGAUCCAAAACAUAGAAGUUCACCAGUCAAGCAUGGUGGAGGUAGUGUCAUGGCCUGGACUUGCAUGGCUGCUUCUGGAACAGGCUCACUAAUCUUUAUUGAUAAAGUAACUCAUGAUGGUUGCAGCAGAAUGAAUUCAAAAGUUUGCCAGAACAUUGUCUUCCAAUUUACAGAGAAAUGCAUCCAAAUUAAUCAGGAGAAACUUUACCAUGCAGCAAGACAAUGAUCUAAAACACAAUAAAUUUAUAUUCCCCUAUUUAUUUGGUUAUGUAUGUGUGAGAUAACUAUCUAUCUAGAUAGAUAUAUUCUUUUACACAUAUAUUCUUUGCUUUUCCAGCAUAUCCUGCAUAUUUGACACCUUUCCAACAGCAGCUACAUGAUGUUCAGAUCCAUCUUUUCACUGAGGACAACCAAGGGACUCGUAGACAAAAUACUAACAAUUUACACCAAACAUCCUGUUCAAAGGUUUAAAUCCCCCUGGCUCUUAAUGUAUCAUGCUGCCUUCUUGAGCUUCAUUCUUAAAAUAUUAAUUUAAAAAACACAAUGCCAACUCAACAAAGGACUUCAUCAGGGGGAAAGUGGAAGGUUAUAGACUGGCCAAAUCAAUCACAAGACCUUAACCCAGUUGAACAGCAUUUCACCUCCUGAAGAGAAGACUGAAGGGUCUUGAAAAAGAUAGUCAUAAGUUGUAAAAGCACUAUUAUUAGAAAUAUCUCUCAUGCCAGGACCUGACCUCUUAGGCUUUUCCCGAUCGCACAAGCGUAACAGGACAAGUAUCAAGUAACAAGUCUUUAACCAGUUGGAAAAUAUCCUAUUAUCUUUAUUUGUGACUGCACUAAGAGAUUACAGAGUGUAAAGAGCUGCUUCUUGGAGCAGGCGUCACUUUGAGUAGAAACACACACAAACAUGUCACCGGGGCCAGCUCAGUCAUCAUGUUUGAGUUUUCUGAUUUUGCCCUUGUGACGGUCGAUCUCGCGCUGCAGGCGCUCAA